GGCCAUUUGACUUCUCAACGUUGCAGUUGUAUUAUCCAAUUGACUUCUUAACAUUGCAAUUGUAUUAUCCUUAUCAGCGUUGGACAAUUGUAGUUCCUCAAUGUUCCUCGUAAAUGCCUGUAUUUUACCAUUUGCAUGCUCUAGCUCAGUACAUUUUCUCCUCAAUUGCUCAGUCAUGUCGUGCUCCAGUUUGUUGAACUGGUUCCAAAUAAAAUUCUUU
This 220-nucleotide unclassified non-coding RNA is filed under the name Hevea brasiliensis (rubber tree). Lineage: Eukaryota; Viridiplantae; Streptophyta; Magnoliopsida; Malpighiales; Euphorbiaceae. The record is from RNAcentral.